This 495-nucleotide ribosomal RNA is filed under the name uncultured bacterium. RNAcentral describes it as "partial 16S ribosomal RNA". It matches the Rfam family "Bacterial small subunit ribosomal RNA", at positions 28 to 505 of the family's 1533-position model. The record is from RNAcentral.
GACGAACGCUGGCGGCGUGCCUAAUACAUGCCAGUUGAGCGCUGAAGGUUGGUACUUGUACCAACUGGAUGAGCAGCGAACGGGUGAGUAACGCGUGGGGAAUCUGCCUUUGAGCGGGGGACAACAUUUGGAAACGAAUGCUAAUACCGCAUAAAAACUUUAAACACAAGUUUUAAGUUUGAAAGAUGCAAUUGCAUCACUCAAAGAUGAUCCCGCGUUGUAUUAGCUAGUUGGUGAGGUAAAGGCUCACCAAGGCGAUGAUACAUAGCCGACCUGAGAGGGUGAUCGGCCACAUUGGGACUGAGACACGGCCCAAAGUCCUACGGGAGGCAGCAGUAGGGAAUCUUCGGCAAUGGACGAAAGUCUGACCGAGCAACGCCGCGUGAGUGAAGAAGGUUUUCGGAUCGUAAAACACUGUUGGUAGAGAAGAACGUUGGUGAGAGUGGAAAGCUCAUCAAGUGACGGUAACUACCCAGAAAGGGACGGCUAACUACG